This 292-nucleotide ribosomal RNA is filed under the name uncultured bacterium. Its description in RNAcentral is "partial 16S ribosomal RNA". It matches the Rfam family "Bacterial small subunit ribosomal RNA", at positions 505 to 796 of the family's 1533-position model. The record is from RNAcentral.
GUGUCAGCAGCCGCGGUAAGACGAACCGUGCAAACGUUGUUCGGAAUCACUGGGCUUAAAGGGCGCGUAGGCGGGCUCGCCAGUCUGUGGUGAAAGCCCCCGGCUUAACCGGGGAAGUGCCGUGGAUACUGCGAGCCUCGAGGAGGGUAGGGGCAUCUGGAACAGCCGGUGGAGCGGUGAAAUGCGUUGAUAUCGGCUGGAACUCCGGUGGCGAAGGCGAGGUGCUGGACCCUUUCUGACGCUGAUGCGCGAAAGCCAGGGGAGCAAACGGGAUUAGAUACCCCGGUAGUCC